RNAcentral lists this ribosomal RNA (422 nucleotides) under uncultured bacterium. RNAcentral's name for it is "bacterial SSU rRNA". It matches the Rfam family "Bacterial small subunit ribosomal RNA", at positions 355 to 774 of the family's 1533-position model. The record is from RNAcentral.
UGGGGAAUCUUGCACAAUGGAGGAAACUCUGAUCCAGCCAUGCCGCGUGAAGGAAUAAGGCCCUAUGGGUUGUAAACUUCUUUUAGACGGGACAAAACCCCUUUACGUGUAAAGGGUUGAUGGUACUGUCAGAAUAAGCAUCGGCUAACUUCGUGCCAGCAGCCGCGGUAAUACGAAGGAUGCAAGCGUUAUCCGGAAUUAUUGGGUUUAAAGGGUGCGUAGGCGGACUAAUAAGUCAGUGGUGAAAGCCUGCAGCUUAACUGCAGAAUUGCCAUUGAUACUGUUAGUCUUGAGUACAGUUGAGGUAGGCGGAAUGUGUCAUGUAGCGGUGAAAUGCUUAGAUAUGACACAGAACACCGAUUGCGAAGGCAGCUUGCUAAGCUGUAACUGACGCUGAGGCACGAAAGCGUGGGGAGCAAACA